RNAcentral lists this ribosomal RNA (279 nucleotides) under uncultured bacterium. RNAcentral's name for it is "partial 16S ribosomal RNA". It matches the Rfam family "Bacterial small subunit ribosomal RNA", at positions 506 to 784 of the family's 1533-position model. The record is from RNAcentral.
UGCCAGCAGCCGCGGUAAUACGGAGAUGGCAACCGUUGUUCGGAAUCACUGGGCUUAAAGGGCACGUAGGCGGGUAAAUUAGUUGAUUGUGAAAGCCCAUGGCUUACCCAUGGAAUGGCAGUCAAAACUGACAAGCUAGAGUGCGAAAGGGGAGAGUGGAACUCCUAGUGGAGCGGUGAAAUGCGUUGAUAUUAGGAGGAACGCCGGUGGCGAAAGCGACUCUCUGGUUCGAAACUGACGCUGAGAUGCGCAAGCUAGGGGAGCAAACGGGAUUAGAUA